Molecule: small RNA, 584 nt
Filed under: bovine gut metagenome
Source: RNAcentral
AUAUAUAUAUCGGUGGUGCAGUAUUCUAGUCGGAAGUUGUCUAUUCAAAGGCGGGGAUAAAAGACCGUCGCGGGCAUAUCGAUGAAGUUUCUGGUGCUGGCUUUGGUUGCCCAAACCAGGGCUUGUGCUGGGAGUUAAGAUUUAUGGGCAUUUCAUAACGGCAUAUGAAUAUUGCCCCAUAUUUCGCGGAGACCAUACCGGGUGAGAUUUUUCUUACUCGAUUGGAUUAAACCUGUAUUGCGGUAUCAAAGCUGUGUGCAGUGUAGCCUGCCUUGAGUGUUUUUGGUGAAUUUUUGUUCACUUUAACCGUUGUUGGCCAAACUCGGUUGGAAUCGCUUAAUGAAACCAAAAGUGCAAAAGAGGCUAGAUUGGAAUUACUUCCGUCAAGGAAAUCUUCUAGACUGUAUUAUAUAUUGAGGAUUAUAGUGUGCUCUUUUACGGUAAUCCGGUCAAGCUGACGGCAACGUUGCUGGGCUUUACGCAAUAGGAAACUUCUCAUACGGCGACGGUGAGUUGUAAAGCGGGGAAAUCCAACCGGACCUUAUGGCGCAAGGUUUACUCAGUGUAUACCACCGAUUUUUUAU